UGGGGAAUUUUGGACAAUGGGGGAAACCCUGAUCCAGCCAUCCCGCGUGUGCGAUGAAGGCCUUCGGGUUGUAAAGCACUUUUGGCAGGAAAGAAACGUCAUGGGUUAAUACCCCGUGAAACUGACGGUACCUGCAGAAUAAGCACCGGCUAACUACGUGCCAGCAGCCGCGGUAAUACGUAGGGUGCAAGCGUUAAUCGGAAUUACUGGGCGUAAAGCGUGCGCAGGCGGUUCGGAAAGAAAGAUGUGAAAUCCCAGAGCUCAACUUUGGAACUGCAUUUUUAACUACCAGGCUAGAGUGUGUCAGAGGGAGGUGAAAUUCCGCGUGUAGCAGUGAAAUGCGUAGAUAUGCGGAGGAACACCGAUGGCGAAGGCAGCCUCCUGGGAUAACACUGACGCUCAUGCACGAAAGCGUGGGGAGCAAACAGG
RNAcentral lists this ribosomal RNA (429 nucleotides) under Acidobacteriota bacterium. Its description in RNAcentral is "Acidobacteria bacterium partial 16S ribosomal RNA". It matches the Rfam family "Bacterial small subunit ribosomal RNA", at positions 355 to 776 of the family's 1533-position model. Lineage: Bacteria; Pseudomonadati; Acidobacteriota. The record is from RNAcentral.